UAAAAUUAUUUUUAUUGAAGUUAUACCAAGGCUAGAAUUCCAAGGUGGGAGUCCUAACUUCUAAGAUUUAAGAUAUUAGAACCCUGAUGCCAUGAUUUUAGUGACAGGACUUCUUGACUUAUCUCUGAUUGGUCAAUUAGAGGAAAGAGGUAAUGAAAGUGAAUGUGAUAUGAUUAGCAUUUUCAAAAUAACUGUUAGAGACACCUUUUAGCUAGGAAAAAAGUGAUACAAUGGGAAAAAAUUGGUAGAGAACUAAUGUCAAAUUAAGGAGGAAGAAAUUAAAAAAAAAAUUAAAAAUAUGUCUGUCAUAUCUCUAUUAGGUGGUCAGAGAAUAUGCAAAAUUCCACCAUGAGCAACAUGGGACCUUGCUCCAGGCUGAAUAAGGUAAAUGAACUUCAAUUUUUUAAAAUGGGCCAUUUUAUGUAUCUUGAAAAUUCCAUUAAUCAUCUUAAAGGGGUCUUAUGUUACUUUAUUAUACUUCUUUAUGGCUUGAGAAGUUUAAUGAGAAUAAUAUUAUUCUGUAGUUUUUAGCCUGAAGACAGCUGAAUCUCCACUUUUUCUUUAUUGUCCCGUGGCAGACUCGCAGCUGAAGAGUGGGGAACUGGGAAGAACCUAUGUCUCCCUUCUUGUGGUAGGAAUACAACUUGUCGGCUUUUCCAGCUACAAAGCAAUUCCUGGUCCCAACCCGCAUGACAAGUUGAUGGGAAAGUGCUUUUUCUUUCUAACUGUCGUAAAAGCCCAAUCAAUAUUGAAUGGAAGAGAAUUCCCUUUUGGUAGAAGGAAUCAAGUCCUUCCAGGGUGAUGGCAAUAAAUGGUAGUUCUCUCCCUUCCCUCUGUAUUAAAGCAUAAUGCUUCCUAAUGUCCAUAAUUGUGUGAAUUUCUCUUUUCGGUUGGAUAUUUUCCUCCAAUUUUAUGGGUGAUGAAAUAUUAUUAAAAUAAUACUGU
Ceratotherium simum simum (southern white rhinoceros) is the source of this 945-nucleotide non-coding RNA. NCBI's taxonomy places the organism in Eukaryota, Metazoa, Chordata, Mammalia, Perissodactyla, Rhinocerotidae. The record is from RefSeq and is a predicted model, not a curated record.